Molecule: ribosomal RNA, 401 nt
Filed under: uncultured bacterium
Lineage: Bacteria
Description: bacterial SSU rRNA
Rfam family: Bacterial small subunit ribosomal RNA
Source: RNAcentral
GAUGAACGCUGGCGGCGUGCCUAACACAUGCAAGUCGAGCGGUAUAUAGUGGAAUGAAACUUCGGUCGAGUGAAGCUAUAGAGAGCGGCGGACGGGUGAGUAACGCGUAGGCAACCUGCCCCAUACAGAGGGAUAGCCUCGGGAAACCGGGAUUAAAACCUCAUAACGCGAGGAGUUCACAUGGACUUCUCGCCAAAGAUUCAUCGGUAUGGGAUGGGCCUGCGUCUGAUUAGCUAGUUGGUGAGGUAACGGCUCACCAAGGCGACGAUCAGUAGCCGACCUGAGAGGGUAAUCGGCCACAUUGGAACUGAGACACGGUCCAAACUCCUACGGGAGGCAGCAGUGGGGAAUAUUGCACAAUGGGCGAAAGCCUGAUGCAGCAACGCCGCGUGAGUGAAGAA